Molecule: ribosomal RNA, 254 nt
Filed under: uncultured bacterium
Lineage: Bacteria
Description: partial 16S ribosomal RNA
Rfam family: Bacterial small subunit ribosomal RNA
Source: RNAcentral
CACGUAGGGUGCGAGCGUUGUCCGGAAUUAUUGGGCGUAAAGAGCUCGUAGGCGGUGUGUCGCGUCGGCCGUGAAAACCUGCAGCUUAACUGUGGGCUUGCGGUCGAUACGGGCAUCACUGGAGUUCGGCAGGGGAGACUGGAAUUCCUGGUGUAGCGGUGAAAUGCGUAGAUAUCAGGAGGAACACCGGUGGCGAAGGCGGGUCUCUGGGCAAUUCCUGACGCUGAGGCGCGAAAGCGUGGGGAGCAAACGGG